RNAcentral lists this ribosomal RNA (565 nucleotides) under Metarhizium anisopliae. RNAcentral's name for it is "eukaryotic LSU rRNA". The stretch from base 171 to 324 matches the Rfam family "5.8S ribosomal RNA". Lineage: Eukaryota; Fungi; Ascomycota; Sordariomycetes; Hypocreales; Clavicipitaceae. The record is from RNAcentral.
UUCCGUAGGUGAACCUGCGGAGGGAUCAUUACCGAGUUAUCCAACUCCCAACCCCUGUGAAUUAUACCUUUAAUUGUUGCUUCGGCGGGACUUCGCGCCCGCCGGGGACCCAAACCUUCUGAAUUUUUUUAAUAAGUAUCUUCUGAGUGGUUUAAAAAAAAAUGAAUCAAAACUUUCAACAACGGAUCUCUUGGUUCUGGCAUCGAUGAAGAACGCAGCGAAAUGCGAUAAGUAAUGUGAAUUGCAGAAUUCAGUGAAUCAUCGAAUCUUUGAACGCACAUUGCGCCCGUCAGUAUUCUGGCGGGCAUGCCUGUUCGAGCGUCAUUACGCCCCUCAAGUCCCCUGUGGACUUGGUGUUGGGGAUCGGCGAGGCUGGUUUUCCAGCACAGCCGUCCCUUAAAUUAAUUGGCGGUCUCGCCGUGGCCCUCCUCUGCGCAGUAGUAAAGCACUCGCAACAGGAGCCCGGCGCGGUCCACUGCCGUAAAACCCCCCAACUUUUUAUAGUUGACCUCGAAUCAGGUAGGACUACCCGCUGAACUUAAGCAUAUCAAUAAGCGGAGGAAAA